UGCCACUAUAUAACAUAGUUAUAACCCGAAGGUAUCAAGUCAUUAAUAGACUUGUAUACAGAUAUAAUCUGUAGAUAAUUUAUUAAAAGGGUGACAUGUAUGUUAACAGGGAGUUGAAUCUUUUCAACCAGGUUUUACCAUCAGGGCCAGGCCUGUUAAUAAGGCAUUCAGGCUAGGUUAUACCUUACUAAGAUUCUUAUAAAAUGGCAAAUCAAAUAAAAAUUGAUAUUCUCCAUUAUUUUAAUAUUAUUCAUGCAUACAAAUAAAAUGAUAAAUUCAAUUAACCAUUUAAAUUUCCAAUAAAAUACCAGUACAUAAUUGCCCUAAACGGGACUUUGAAAUAACAUAACUAGCAUGAAUAACAUGCCCGCGCAGGGGCUAAACAAGUACAACAAUAACAAAAUAAAAUAAAACAAACCCACGCAGGGGUUAACAGGAUAACAUACCCACACAGGGGUAGAGAAAGAUAGAUAUACCCACGCAGGGGUAGAGUACUGGAAUAAAUGUCCACGCAGGGACAUGAGUACAUGAAAUGAUAAUCGAAGGAUUCAACGAUCCUUCUUGCUCUUACCCUUGAGCAAAUCAAAUAC
This 590-nucleotide long non-coding RNA is filed under the name Helianthus annuus (common sunflower). The record is from RNAcentral. Lineage: Eukaryota; Viridiplantae; Streptophyta; Magnoliopsida; Asterales; Asteraceae.